AUCUGCCUCGUAGUGGGGGAUAAGGUUCGGAAACGGACGCUAAUACCGCAUACGUCCUACGGGAGAAAGGAGGGGACCUUCGGGCCUUGCGCUAUCAGAUGAGCCGAGGUCGGAUUAGCUAGUUGGGGAGGUAAUGGCUCACCAAGGCGACGAUCCGUAACUGGUCUGAGAGAGAUGAUCAGUCACACGGGAAGUGAGACACGGUCCACGCUCCUACGGGAGGCAGCAGUGGGGAAUAUUGGACAAUGGGCGAAA
This 255-nucleotide ribosomal RNA is filed under the name uncultured bacterium. RNAcentral's name for it is "partial 16S ribosomal RNA". It matches the Rfam family "Bacterial small subunit ribosomal RNA", at positions 124 to 380 of the family's 1533-position model. The record is from RNAcentral.